Molecule: ribosomal RNA, 375 nt
Filed under: uncultured bacterium
Lineage: Bacteria
Description: bacterial SSU rRNA
Rfam family: Bacterial small subunit ribosomal RNA
Source: RNAcentral
AUUGAACGCUGGCGGCAUGCCUUACACAUGCAAGUCGAACGGCAGCACGGGGGGCAACCCUGGUGGCGAGUGGCGAACGGGUGAGUAAUGCAUCGGAACGUGCCCCGUAGCGGGGGAUAACCAGUCGAAAGACUGGCUAAUACCGCAUACGCUCCACGGAGGAAAGCAGGGGAUCGCAAGACCUUGCACUAUGGGAGCGGCCGAUGCCCGAUUAGCUAGUUGGUGAGGUAAAGGCUCACCAAGGCGACGAUCGGUAGCUGGUUUGAGAGAACGACCAGCCACACUGGGACUGAGACACGGCCCAGACUCCUACGGGAGGCAGCAGUGGGGAAUUUUGGACAAUGGGCGCAAGCCUGAUCCAGCCAUGCCGCGUGC